Molecule: microRNA precursor, 146 nt
Filed under: Gossypium hirsutum (cotton)
Lineage: Eukaryota; Viridiplantae; Streptophyta; Magnoliopsida; Malvales; Malvaceae
Description: MIR7502 microRNA precursor family
Rfam family: MIR7502 microRNA precursor family
Source: Rfam by way of RNAcentral
UGUUAAAAAUUUUAUUUAUUUUUGCGAUUAAAAAUUGACAUGACUAACAAAAUAAAAUAGACAAUUACACACGGUAUAACACGUGCCCCUCGUUUUGAGGUACAAAGACCAAUUUUUAAUUGUAGAAAUUGAUUAAUUAUUUAACA